RNAcentral lists this long non-coding RNA (398 nucleotides) under Eucalyptus grandis. RNAcentral describes it as "long non-coding RNA (EGRA_LNC001656)". Lineage: Eukaryota; Viridiplantae; Streptophyta; Magnoliopsida; Myrtales; Myrtaceae. The record is from RNAcentral.
UGCCUCUCCCACUUCGUUAACGCUCGCCUCUCCCUCAUCCCUCUGUGUUCAAUUGUGCCUCUCUCUCUCUCUCUCUCCCUCUCUCUCUCUCUCUCUCUCUCUCUCUCUCAAAAGACUUUGACCUAAGUUGUGUCGCAACAACAUUGACCUUGAUCCGAGGUUGUUGGCCUCCUUUUAAACCAUGAAUGACCUCGUGACCCCUAACCUCAAAUUUAGGUAGCAGACCAAGGCCAUUCAUGGUAAUUAACGAUAUACAAUCGAGAUUCAGCUGUGACAAGACUAUGAAUUACCUUGAUUGAGGUUGUCAUGGCAAUAUGUGACCUUAGCAAGCCACUAUGGCAAUCAGGCUCUGGCCUCCUUUUAAGCCAUGCAUGACCUUGUGAUCCCUAACCUCAAAU